UGGGGAAUAUUGGACAAUGGGCGCAAGCCUGAUCCAGCAAUGCCGCGUGUGUGAAGAAGGCCUGCGGGUUGUAAAGCACUUUCAGUGGGGAGGAAGGCCUCAAUGCUAAUAGUAUUGAGGAUUGACGUUACCUACAGAAGAAGCACCGGCUAACUCUGUGCCAGCAGCCGCGGUAAUACAGAGGGUGCAAGCGUUAAUCGGAAUUACUGGGCGUAAAGGGCGCGUAGGUGGUUAAUUAAGUCAGAUGUGA
Molecule: ribosomal RNA, 250 nt
Filed under: uncultured bacterium
Lineage: Bacteria
Description: partial 16S ribosomal RNA
Rfam family: Bacterial small subunit ribosomal RNA
Source: RNAcentral